This is an RNA transcript of Trifolium pratense (red clover), 2243 nucleotides long. It is a transcript of the gene named protein ZW2-like, with no coding region annotated. Lineage: Eukaryota; Viridiplantae; Streptophyta; Magnoliopsida; Fabales; Fabaceae. The transcript has 2 exons. The record is from RefSeq and is a predicted model, not a curated record.
UCCGUAAAAUAUAAAUACUAAACUGAAUAAUACAUAAUAAUAUAAGAUAGAACAACAUAAAAUAAACAUUUAAGAUAUUAAACAAACUUUAGUUCGACCUAAUCCAUUAUUUUUUAGCAAUUAAACGCUCGUAAAUGUUCAAAUAUUUGUGACUAACCAAUUAUUUUUCCUCACACAACGCAGAUAGAAAAUCUUUUUCUCAAAGCACAUUUAUCUCAACUUCUCUCUCUCUUACUUGGCUCCAUAUCUCAACUUCUCUCUCUUACUUGGCAUGAAAUCAAUAGUGUAAACAAAGACGGCACCAUGCCAUUUUAGCAUGUGUCAACCUCAUUAAUCCAAUGCCAACUAUAUAAAAUAAAUCCAAACCCAAAAUAAAAAUAUCUCAAAUACCAACACAACACACACACUAUCAUAAUUGACUACUACUACCCUUCACAUGAAGAAACCAACCCCACAACUCAUCAAAAUCCUCAACCAACAGUUCUCAUCCCAUCUACCCUUAAUUUCUUAACUAUUAAGAAUUUUUAAAAAAAAAAACCACGUGCUGACAAAUUUCACCGAAAACCACUCGCAAAUAAGCACUUAUUUUUAAGUCUACAAAUUAUCCUCUGUUUUUUCUUUAACUCAACACCGCUUAACUCUGUUUUCAUCCAAAUGACUCUGUUUUCAUUAACCUUUCUUCCUAUUCACCACACCACCAUUACCAAUACUUUCCUUCUAAGAAAAUCAACAUUUUCUCAUACCCUUUUGCAUAAAAAUCAUAUUUCCAAUAACCCAAUUGUAAACUCCACCAACAAACACUCUCAUAUUCUUCUUCAUUUUCCUUCUCUGUUUUGCUCUGUUUCUCAUAAAUCACAAUACAUAGAUGACUGAUGCAAAUGUUGCCGCAUUUGAUGAAUUUCUCCAUGGAUGGAUUAUUCGUCAAAGAAACUAUCUUGAUGAGCUUCUCUCAGCUCAACAACAGCAACAAGAGUUGGAUGAUUCUGAUAGAAGGAAUUUGUUAAACAGAGUACUCUGUCACUAUGGACAAUACUAUGAAGAGAAAUCAAAGAUAGCCCAUCAAAAUAUUCUCCUUCUUUUCUCACCACCAUGGUUUAGUUCAUUGGAAAGAGCCUUUCUUUGGGUAGCAGGGUUCAAACCAGGACUUACAUUUCAACUUGUGAACAAAACUUUGGAGGAUUUGUCAGAGGAUCAGAGGCAGAGGUUGAGUGAACUCAAACAAGAGACAAAGAUGAAGGAGAGAGAACUCAAUGAUGAAUUGGCUAAGGUUCAUGAGAGUAUGGCAGGUCUACCACUUGUUGACAUGAUUAGAAGCCAUGGAAGAGUGUGUUUGAGUAGGUCAUUCAUGGCAGAGGAAGGUACAGUUCCAAGUACAGUGAAGGAAACAUUGGAGAAUCUGGUAACAAAUGCUGAUACUUUGAGGACUGAGACAGCUUUGAGAGUUGUGCAGAUGUUGAAACCAGCUCAGGUUCUCAACUUUUUUGUUGCUGUGGCUCAGCUUCAACUCAAGAUCAGGUCUUUGGGUUUGGAUAAGGAUGCUCAGAGUGAAAACCAAGGUUGAAUUGAAUCAUUGGAAUUUUCUGUAAGGUGGUUUUGGUUUUCAUUCUCCUUCUCCUUUCCCUUUUUUCUUUCCUUCAUGUCUUUCUUUAUAUAUAUAUAUAUAUACUUUUUAAAAUAUAGUUUGAGUUGUGUAAUAGAUAGGCCUAAGCAGUGAUGAUGGUGAUGAUGUGCAUUGAUUAGUGUGCAUUCAGGUUAUCUACCCCUAAUGUUGUUUCCUUGAUGAGCAUCCUUGAUGAGCAAGAUCAGGUCAUGCAAUGCAUGCUUUAUCAGGAAGCUAGAAUAUCACUUUCCAAAGAAAGAGUGACAGGCACACCAGGAUGAUCAGAUCUUCACUCAAACAACUGCCUCUGAUUUAAUUAUUUAUUUCUUAUUAUAUUAAUAUUAUAGUAUCAUAUUUACUUAGUAGAUGUUUUUUCUUUUGUGAUGUUAAGACAUGUUUGUGAGUGAAGAAGAACUUAGAUGCAUAUGAUGUGGGACCUUAAAAAGAAUCAUAUUUUCAAUUUCCAGUGCAUUUGGACAUUUGCAUCAUAACAGGUGUAUUUUAUAUGCUUUCCUCAACACAUGGUUCAUUCUUCACACAGCAAAAGGGGGAAAGAAGGUGCAGAAAUACCAAAGCAGAAGUCUCAAGCAUUGAAAAUGAAGCAGAUACAUAAAGUGGAAAAAAUGUGAUCAAGAAGCUUGUU